RNAcentral lists this ribosomal RNA (719 nucleotides) under uncultured Serratia sp. RNAcentral describes it as "bacterial SSU rRNA". It matches the Rfam family "Bacterial small subunit ribosomal RNA", at positions 791 to 1509 of the family's 1533-position model. Lineage: Bacteria; Pseudomonadati; Pseudomonadota; Gammaproteobacteria; Enterobacterales; Yersiniaceae. The record is from RNAcentral.
UAGUCCACGCUGUAAACGAUGUCGAUUUGGAGGUUGUGCCCUUGAGGCGUGGCUUCCGGAGCUAACGCGUUAAAUCGACCGCCUGGGGAGUACGGCCGCAAGGUUAAAACUCAAAUGAAUUGACGGGGGCCCGCACAAGCGGUGGAGCAUGUGGUUUAAUUCGAUGCAACGCGAAGAACCUUACCUACUCUUGACAUCCAGAGAACUUUCCAGAGAUGGAUUGGUGCCUUCGGGAACUCUGAGACAGGUGCUGCAUGGCUGUCGUCAGCUCGUGUUGUGAAAUGUUGGGUUAAGUCCCGCAACGAGCGCAACCCUUAUCCCUUGUUGCCAGCGGUUCGGCCGGGAACUCAAAGGAGACUGCCAGUGAUAAACUGGAGGAAGGUGGGGAUGACGUCAAGUCAUCAUGGCCCUUACGAGUAGGGCUACACACGUGCUACAAUGGCAUAUACAAAGAGAAGCGACCUCGCGAGAGCAAGCGGACCUCAUAAAGUAUGUCGUAGUCCGGAUUGGAGUCUGCAACUCGACUCCAUGAAGUCGGAAUCGCUAGUAAUCGUAGAUCAGAAUGCUACGGUGAAUACGUUCCCGGGCCUUGUACACACCGCCCGUCGCACCAUGGGAGUGGGUUGCAAAAGAAGUAGGUAGCUUAACCUUCGGGAGGGCGCUUACCACUUUGUGAUUCAUGACUGGGGGUGAAGUCGUAACAAGGUACCAAGGGCGAA